This is a non-coding RNA of Struthio camelus australis, 590 nucleotides long. The record is from RefSeq and is a predicted model, not a curated record. Lineage: Eukaryota; Metazoa; Chordata; Aves; Struthioniformes; Struthionidae.
CCAGCAAGCGAGGCUGAAGAACAGAAAUCUGAAGACGGCAGGCAGCUUCAAUACGUGGGAAAAACAGUGAAAAAGCCUAGCGCCACCAGGAUGGAGUAGGCCGUUAACGUAGAUUUGAAAGGGUAGUUCCCAGGUAAUGGAGAGAAGGGGCGAUGGAGAGAGAAGGCUCAUCUUACUCUGAGGCAUCGAGGGACCUGAACCACCUCUUGCGUGGACGAAUGCUCUCCCUGUAGGAGAAAAAGGCAAUUAACGUGUGUGGCGAAGAGCGAGAAGAAACAGCAACCGUGACAGGAAUCGUUAGCUCUGGCUUCUUUUGUGUGGGUACCGCAAGGUCAGAGCUUGAACAAGGGGAAAACCGGCAUAUGUCUUCGCUAACAAGCAUGACAACCAAGUAGCUGAGUCGAUUCAUGUUGCGAUCCAGAGAAACCCUAGUCUUUGACAGGAUCUGGGAAGUGAGAUAUCCGUGUUCUGCUGAAAGACCCACCAACCCUGUCUUCCUCGUUAAAAAUCCAAAAGAAGCGCUUCAGAGAAGAGCUAGAGAACAGGAAAAGAAGUGUAGGUGCCGUGCGGUGGCGUAGCCACAGCCCCGG